RNAcentral lists this ribosomal RNA (425 nucleotides) under uncultured bacterium. RNAcentral's name for it is "bacterial SSU rRNA". It matches the Rfam family "Bacterial small subunit ribosomal RNA", at positions 355 to 796 of the family's 1533-position model. The record is from RNAcentral.
UUAGGAAUUUUGCGCAAUGGGGGAAACCCUGACGCAGCCACGCCGCGUGCGGGAUGAAGGCCUUAGGGUCGUAAACCGCCUUUCUCGAGGAAGACACCCGACGGUACUCGAGGCAUAAGCAACGGCUAACUACGUGCCAGCAGCCGCGGUAAUACGUAGGUUGCGAGCGUUGUCCGGAUUUAUUGGGCGUAAAGCGCGCGCAGGCGGUUCCGAAAGUCGAUGGUGAAAGCUCCCGGCCCAACUGGGAGAGGCCCAUCGAAACUUCGGGACUUGAAGGCGGGAGAGGCAAAUGGAAUUUCCGGUGUAGCGGUAAAAUGCGUAGAUACCGGAAGGAACACCAGUGGCGAAAGCGAUUUGCUGGCCCGCCCUUGACGCUCAGGCGCGAAAGCUAGGGGAGCGACCGGGAUUAGAUACCCCCGUAGUCC